UUCCGUUAUUUACGGUCCUAUGCGACAAGUUAAGGUAUCUCGACCCAACCCUUUAUUGAGGGCAGGUCUUGCUUCUAAGUUUGUGAUGAAUCGUAUUAAGACACAACUUAUUUCUUAUAUAAAUAUUUCAAUCCACUCUAAGUAUUUAUAAAAAAUAUAUAUAUAUAACAACAAAUUUGCUCAAGGAGCUUUAUAGUUGGCAAAAGUUUGAAAAUAUAAAUCAUUAUUUCACUCAGAUCGACAUUAUAUUCACACGGCUGGGAAAAAAAAAAGAUGCAUAAAUUGUGUUAUUAGAAAACAUGGCAUGAAUUGAAGAUUGUGUCUUCAAGAAAAUAUAAGAAGAAAAGAAUUUUGAUUACAAGUUUAUAUCGAAUUAUCAUCUAAAAGGCAGAAAAAAUAUCAUCAAAAAGACAGAAAACAAAACCUCUAAGAAAAACAUGUGCAAAGAAUAUCAAAAAAUAUAAAUUUUUGAGGAUUUACAACUCUAUCUUUCAUGGAAUUUCAUUCAUAAUUUAAAUAAAUAUUUUUAAAACCAGAAGAUUUUGACAAUUAAAACACUGAAAUUUGUUUUAAAAAAUCUACAUGAAAUAAAAUUUUUGACAGAAAAUUUCCAAAACUGAUUGUGGACAAAAAUCAUUUACCUUUGUGUUGAAAAAUCUUAAAAAUUUGCUGCUGCUUAGAUAUCUUCUAUAUAAAACUUAGUGUAUUUACUGUGCAACUGAAACACUACUGAUGCAUCUAUUAGAAAUUGCAUUGGAUUUUCCCAAUAUGACUUUAUCAUUAAGAAUAGAACCAUGCACAAAAUAGUUGAAUAUUUACCUAAAUUCAAAUUGUCAGUUCAUCUCCAUCAUCAGGUAACUUCUGGAAAAUCCUGUCAGCAAAUAUUGUUACAAGAAACAGUUAUCUUGUUAUUCCAGUUGAGUUUUGAAUCAAAGAGAAAUGGUUGGAAUUUAACUUCUCUCUACUUGGUCAUUGCUUUUGAAAACAAGUUAGCAAUAAUUCCUCUGCUAAAAAAUGCAGACAAGUUGCACAGUACCAGGGUAUCAAUUCAGUUUGUGAUAUUUUUCAUUGCGAAUAAACCAAAUUCAGAGCAUUUAUUUUUUAUAUCUUAUCCUGUCCAUGAACUUGUAACUGACAUUUCAAUAAGUAGUCACAGCAACAAAAUGUCCACAGAUAAACAUUCUUCUCUUAAAUCAAGAAAAUCCAUCAAAAAGCAUCGCUGUGAGUUCUGCAACAAAGAAUUCAUGAGCAGUUCUGCGUUGGUUAUUCAUAGACGCUCACACACCGGCUUGCGUCCUUACAAAUGUCCAUUCUGCAGUCGAGCAUUCUCUCAAAUGACUGGAAUCCAGCAUCAUAUUCGUACUCACACCGGGGAGAGGCCAUACGUUUGCAACAUCUGCCAUUUUAAAUUUUCUCGCUCAGAUUCUUUAGCCAGACAUAUAAAGAAGCGGCAUUCAAGCGUUCAAAAUGGAUUGGUAAAGAGAAAAAAGAAGACUUCAGAAAUAUCAAAGAAGCAGCUACUGCUUAGCUAUUAUAAUAAUUCCCACUCAGAUCCUACUACUUCUCAGCUAACAGACUCUAGUUUUAUACUCAAUGGUUUUCUUGAUGCACCCACAGAAUUUCAGUCUUCAAAUUUAGGAAUUAAUUCAGAUGUACAUAUUACUGAUGAUUCUUCUAAAAAUUCACGUCUUAAGUUUCCAGAUGAAAUGCAUUCUCAUAAUAAAGUAACUGAUUCUUUCAUCAGAGAUAAAAGAUAUACACAUUCUAGAAUACAAUCUCCAAGAUUGAGAACUAAAUCCAUGGAUAAAAAAUAUUCGUUUUCAAAUUGUAAUUUACCUGAAUUCAGGUAUUCUGAAGCAGCACACCAAAGAAUUUCAGUUCCUCAAAAUGAAAUAUCUGAAAAUUCUAGGAAAAAUUAUAAAAGAACUGAAGAGACAUCUUUGCUGCAGUCUAAAGUGAAUAAAAGAUGUAAUUAUAACCCAAAUAUAAGUUAUACUAAUAAUUUGGACAAUAUACACUUUAAAAAUGUCAGUGAUAUAAGUAUUUCCUCAGAACUAGAAUCUAAGCUUCACAAUAAACUAGAUAAUUACCAACAUGCCAACAGAAGAAAUCUUGAUACAAAGAGUGGUGGUAAAUAUCACAAGUGUUUCUUCUGUUUCAAGUGUUUUGCGAGUAAGUCUGCAUUGAACAUUCAUAAAAGAAUUCAUACUGGCAUUCGUCCCUAUGUCUGCAAAAUGUGUGGUCGUUCAUUUACCCAAAAAACUGGUUUGCGGCACCAUUAUAGGACUCACACACAAGAAAGACCUUACAAAUGUAGCAUUUGCUUCUAUGCAUUCGCUAGAUCUGAUUCUCUUUUGCGGCACACAAAACUUCGACACAAGAAGCUGAAGAAAAAAGCCCCUGUUUAUAACAAGCAAUUAAGAAAACCACCUGAAUGCUAUCCUAAUUCAGAGCAUUUUUUUGAAAAAUCUGGUAGUUUUAAGCAAGUGGUACUUCAAAAUGAAAGCAAUAAUUUAUUUGAAAAUGAUCGUCUGGUUGCAAAAAAUGUUAAUGAUCUUGACAUUCAUGAAUAUUCUAUUAGAAAUAAUAACAAUUCCAACCAUGUUUCAGUUGUUGAUUCCACUCUGUUACUCGAUCCAUUAAUAACAGUUUCUGAUGAAAUCAAUUAUGGUAGGCAUCACGUACAGUCUACAGACUUUAGCAACAGUAAUUUGAGUUCUGGGGUAGUAUUGAAUAUCGAGAGACCUGAAAUCACUCACACAAAUUCUCCUAUCUACAUAACUGAUGAUGAAGAAGAAUUUGAUGUCAUUUCAUUCCCAGAAAAAAAUGAAGAUGUACCUGCUGUUAAAUCCUGCUUGAAGCCCUCCACCAAUUCUAAAAAUACCACAGGAAAAUAUGGGAAAAAACGAAACCUUCCUUGUAAUUUCUGUCACAAGACUUUCUCUAGUUUCUCGGUGCUGAAAGUUCAUAGAAGAAUCCACACUGGUGUUAGACCUUAUCGGUGUAAGUUUUGUGGCCGUUCCUUUACUCAACAGACUGGUCUUACCCACCAUCUGCGUACUCACACUGGAGAAAAACCCUACUCUUGUGGAAACUGUAAUGCCCAAUUUUCCAGAUCCGAUUCCUUGGCUCGUCACUGGAAACAGCAGCAUUUAAAACACUCUAACACAAAAGGUAAUCAUUUGAAACAGAUAAAUAGAACUAAGAAAGAUCAUGUUAGUUCAAGCAGCACUGAUGAAAAUUUAAGCAUUUCAGCAAAGGAUGUCAGGCUUUCUGAAUCUGAAACAAAUAAUGUACAAGAAAUAAGUGACAAUACUUCAAGUUUAGAUCAGGUAAAUUUUGCAUCAGUCGUUAUAAAAUCUGAAGUUUCUAACGAUGAACCUGUUCCUGCUGUUAUCUGUGAUACUUCUUCUAAAGAGGAUGCUGGCACUGCUGAUAAACUGGGAACUGAUGAUCUCAGUCCAACAUGGAAAAGUGGCAGUAGUUAUAGAGAUGAUGGAAAUUUCAGCAAUAUUGAAAUUGAAACCUUUGAACCAGUUCGAAAUGCAUUUAGUCCUUCCAAUGAACCAAACCUACAGUUGAAAUGUUCUUCAUGCAAAAAAGUGUUUAACGACAAAACUCUGUUAUCUUCUCAUGUGUGUGAGGUAAAUACAGAAUAUCAAUGUUUUCUUUGUGAUAUGAACUUUAACAAUACCAUAUUACUGGCUGAACAUAUGAGUGAGCAGCAUAAUUUGAAACAAAACUGUAAAAGAGAAGGUGAGCUGUCACAAUUUUCCUUCGAGGAUGAAUUUGGUUCUCUUGUAGAAAUGGUAAUCACCCAUAAUAAUGACAGAGAUGUUUGUCGUAUUUAUCUUAGUGACUUUUCUGAAAAUACCCAAACCAUAGAAAUGAACAUGGAUGAGAAAAUCAAUCAAAACCUUUCUGAUAUUUGGGAAUCUACAGAGAAUAGAAAACUUGAAGUUACUCAAAACUCUCCAGAUGAUUUUGAUUCUAAAGCCAACAUUUUCUGCCAAUCUAAUUACAAUGCAGGCACUAUAAAUAACCACAAGGACAGUUCUGAAGAUAUUUUGCAAAUUAAACUUGAGCAGGAUCAACAGGAAAUAUCAGAUAUCGUCAGCCAGAACAAUAGUAGCUUUGAGUCUUUCUGCUUGACUAACCAGGAGCAAGAAUUUCGCAAUGUCUUUGAACCAAAUACUAACCCUCUUGGUACACAGACAAAUGGAAUUAAUUCUGAGGUUUCUAAUUUUGUAGAUAAUAGCAGCGAUGCUGGUAUAUCCAUACCAUUGUUGGAUCUGAACCAGUGUAAGACAGAAGAUAACGACAGCAACACUGCUCCAUUAAACAAAGAUUCUAAGCAAACUAGAAACAAACAGCGCCAAUGUGAAUUCUGUAAGAAAUCAUUUAAUAGCAAAUGGGCUUUGAUUAUUCACCGCAGAUCCCAUACUGGUGAAAAGCCAUACGAAUGUGGGCACUGUGGCCGUGGUUUCAGUCAGUUAUCUGGUGUUCAACAUCAUAUUCUCACACAUACUGGUGAGAGACCAUUCGAGUGUCAAAUUUGUCAUUUCAGAUUCGCUCGAUCUGAUUCAUUGGUUCGACAUACCAGGUUAAAACAUUCAGAAUGUGCAAGAGAAAAUGGUUCGAAAGAGGAGCCCAAGAAAGCUUCAACCCUCUCCAAUAACCAAAGUUUAGUAAGGGACUUAAGGAAUGCAUAUAGUACAGAUAUGUUAGACAUGGAGACAGAUAUGCAAAACGAUUGUACAAUGAUUGAACCAAUGUUACAAGAUAAAAACUUGAUUAACUUAUCAGAAUAUCCUUUGCUUCUUUCAUCUCAAGUGAAGGAACCUGACUCAAAGAAAAAUUCUGAGGAUCAUAUUACUUUGAAAGAUAUCCACAAGGAAGUUGAUUUCGAUAAGGAUAUUAAAAAUUGCAACAUGUUAGACUUGUCUUUGCCUCCUUCGAAAGAUAUUUCUACCAAGCAGAUAAAAACUUUUGAUUGUAAAUUUUGUGGGAGUCUGUUUCCAAAUUCUGAUGUUUUAUUGCAACAUCUAAUGUUAAGUCAUAGCAAUGAAAUUAUUUUAAAUGAUAUUAAAACAGAUAUCUUGCUAAAAUCUGGGCCUGAGCAAAAUAAGAAUUCAUCUCAAGAUUCCCUUAGUAUUUCUGAGUCCAAAGAAGCUUUAACAUUUCAGUCUAGUAAUGUUUCAUCAUUCCCUGAAAAUUGUCUGCAAAGGGAUAGCAUUUUGCAUCUUUUAAAAGAGUAUGAUCUUGGUAUGGUGACAGAAGAUAAUUCAACUUUGAAUAGAGAUGAAAGCAACCCUAAUUUCAAUGUUGAUCUCAAAUAUAUAGAAAAUGUUGAAACUAUUCCUUUAGACAGGUUAGAGCAAAAUGGAGAUGGUCAAGAAAUGGACCGAAGUCAAAAUUCUUUUCAAAAUAUCAUAGAUAUUACAGAAACGGACUUUGAUUUGAAAGAAACAAGUGUUGAUGAAAUCAUAGAGAAAGAUCUUAGCACUAGUGAAGAAAGAAAUCUCAAAGAUGUAGAUGUUGGCAAUGUUGAAGAUAAUAACAACAACAAUAAUGAUGAUGAUGAUGAUGAUGAUGUUAUAUGCAUCACACCUGAGAAUUUCCCUUCAAGUUUUCAGAUGAAUUCUUUGAAGGGUUUUGCUGAAGAUUUUCAUGUAACUGAAGAGAAAAGUUAUGAAGCCUCUUACAUAUCUCUCACAGAUAAUGACAACAUGAGUGCAAGGGAAAUAACGGAACAGUCUAACCGAAGCAAUUCUUGUAGGUUUUGUGGCAAAAGUUUUCCUACUCAGUCGGCAUUAAAAGUGCACCAACGCACACAUACCGGCCUGCGUCCAUAUAAGUGUCCAACCUGUGACAGAGCAUUCACACAGAAAGUCGGACUCCAGCAUCACGUCCGAACUCAUACAGGAGAGCGGCCAUAUCAGUGUAAAUACUGCAUUCAGAAGUUUGCUCGGUCAGAUUCUUUGGGUCGGCACAUAAGACACAAGCAUUUAAAAACAGCCAAGGAUUUGAAUUCUGUGAGUAACUAUCAGAAAAGCCUUGUAUCUCCUUUGUCCUUAGAAUCAGAUGCAAACCAAGAAGCAGCUAGAAAAAGGGAGAUGAAUGGAGGAAAUUCCAAUCAACUGGAAUCGAAUUUCAUUGAGUCACCGGAACAUUCUUCUAGUAAAAAUCCUAAUCAAACGGAUUUUGUAAUGAUGACUCCAAAUUCAUUUGGAGAUUUAUUUGUAUUGGAGCCAUCAGACAACCAUGUUAAGAAUAAUCUGAAUGAAUGCUUCCAAGAAUACAUUAGUUACUCUCGAUUGAAUGAUGAUAAUCACAUUGAUAGGAAGACUAUGUGUGACCAAAUUGAAGAAAGAAUGCAGAAUAGUUCUUAUUCUAUUCCUAAUACUAGCCUACUACAGUCUUCUGGUAACACACCAGGCAAGUCAUCUGACACAAUUGUUUUGGAAGAGAUGGCAAUAAAUAUAAGUGAUUCUGAAUGUAAUUCACCUGAACAAAAUACAACAAUAAAAUAUGAAAAUGAUCUUACCUGUGAUAUUUGCUGCAAAGAAUUCUCUAAUUCACACCUGUUAAUAAAGCACCUAAAAGAUCAUAUAAAUGCUAGCAAAGAAACUGCAACCAAUCCAGAUAAAACCAUCUCUGGUCCUGUUCCUACUUGUUAUCUUAUAGACCUCAGUGAUGAGAGCUUAGAACAAAAAACACAAAGUGAAUUAGACAUUGAUCUAAUGGAAUCUGAUUUACUCUCAAAUAUAACCAAAGAAAAAUGCAUGGAAAACAAGAAUGUAACUGAAAUACAAGAAUUCAAUUCAAGAACUGAUCCAAAAAUAGCCCCCUCUUCAUUGACGAACCUGAUAGAUGAUGAUAGUCAAACCCAGAUUGGUAUUGAGAAAAAUGCUGAUAAUUACCAGUUGGUUACAGAAACAGAAGACACUAACACAACAACCAGUGUUCUUUCUAAUAUGAUUUCCCCAAAUCUCCUGCCCCACCACACUAAUGUGGUCUCGACGGGUACACGAGGCAAUAUUACUUGCAGUAAAACCAAUAACAACUCUCUUUUAAUCAUCAAAGACGGUACUAGAUUUAAACUCGGUCACAAAAGGCACAUUUGUAAGUACUGCAGUAAAAGUUUUGCUAGUUCUUCCGCCCUUGUGAUUCACACUCGGACACACACUGGUGAAAGGCCUUAUGAAUGUGAUUAUUGUUCACGAGCCUUCAGCCAGGUCACUGGUCUUCGUCACCAUAUCAGAACACAUACGGGGUAUAAGCCAUACAGCUGUCACUUCUGUUAUUACCGAUUUGCAAGAUCAGAUUCUUUAGCCAGGCACUUAAAACUGGAACACCAAAAGAGAAACAAAGAUUCCUCUUCAGGAACAGAUGUCAAUGCUAUACAAUAACAGAACUCUUUAUUUUAUAUUUGUAUAUAUUUAUUUAUUGGUAUGGGGGAAAUUUUGUUCCACAGUUUCAUUAUUUCUAGAAUGCGUGUGUGUGUGUAUGUGAAUGUACAUGCAUGUGUGUAUGUGCACAGAUAAAUAGUGUGUGUGUGUGUGUGUGAAUGUU
RNAcentral lists this unclassified non-coding RNA (7575 nucleotides) under Octopus sinensis (East Asian common octopus). RNAcentral describes it as "zinc finger protein 236-like, transcript variant X1". Lineage: Eukaryota; Metazoa; Mollusca; Cephalopoda; Octopoda; Octopodidae. The record is from RNAcentral.